RNAcentral lists this ribosomal RNA (253 nucleotides) under uncultured bacterium. RNAcentral's name for it is "partial 16S ribosomal RNA". It matches the Rfam family "Bacterial small subunit ribosomal RNA", at positions 524 to 776 of the family's 1533-position model. The record is from RNAcentral.
UACAGAGGGCUCAAGCGUUGUUCGGAUUCAUUGGGCGUAAAGAGCGUGUAGGCGGCCAGGUAGGUCGGUUGUGAAAACUGGAGGCUCAACCUUCAGAGGUCGACCGAAACCAUCUGGCUAGAGUCCGGGAGAGGAGAGUGGAAUUCCUGGUGUAGCGGUGAAAUGCGCAGAUAUCAGGAGGAACACCGGUGGCGAAGGCGGGUCUCUGGGCCGAUACUGACGCUGAGGAGCGAAAGCGUGGGGAGCGAACAGG